AUAGGUUCUUUAUUGGUAAUAAACAAUUUCUGUUCUGACCAGCUUAAUUUCUGAUAUGUUAGGCAAUGCCUAACUCGUAUAUUAAACUGAUUUUUGGACUUCGGCCAUGGGAUUGAAGCUUGCUUCGCCCUGGCCACAGGUUGUCUUGGUAUUGCACUACAUCCGAGUACAGCCCCUUCCCC
RNAcentral lists this small nuclear RNA (182 nucleotides) under Paramuricea clavata. RNAcentral's name for it is "U2 spliceosomal RNA". It matches the Rfam family "U2 spliceosomal RNA". Rfam says of the family: U2 is a small nuclear RNA (snRNA) component of the spliceosome (involved in pre-mRNA splicing). Complementary binding between U2 snRNA (in an area lying towards the 5' end but 3' to hairpin I) and the branchpoint sequence (BPS) of the intron results the bulging out of an unpaired adenosine, on the BPS, which initiates a nucleophilic attack at the intronic 5' splice site, thus starting the first of two transesterification reactions that mediate splicing. Lineage: Eukaryota; Metazoa; Cnidaria; Anthozoa; Malacalcyonacea; Plexauridae. The record is from Rfam by way of RNAcentral.